GAAAAAGAAGAAGAGAAAGAAAAAGAGAGAAGAGAGAGGAAAGAAAGAGCACGCUCUCUGUUUUCUUCUUCUUUUACUUCUUCUUCUUCGCGCUUUUUCCUCUUCUUUUCCUCCUCU
This 117-nucleotide non-coding RNA is filed under the name Bathycoccus prasinos. Lineage: Eukaryota; Viridiplantae; Chlorophyta; Mamiellophyceae; Mamiellales; Bathycoccaceae. The record is from RNAcentral.